This is a non-coding RNA of Thalictrum thalictroides, 124 nucleotides long. The record is from the annotation of a GenBank genome assembly. NCBI's taxonomy places the organism in Eukaryota, Viridiplantae, Streptophyta, Magnoliopsida, Ranunculales, Ranunculaceae.
AAUGAAACAUGGAGACUCUAUGAAAUGUCUUUAUGUUGCUUAAACAGAGGAAUACCAAUAUGGCAAGAUAUCGUUUCAGUUGCCCUUUUAUUUGAUUGGCAAUUUGAUUGUUGCUUGUCUACAC